RNAcentral lists this ribosomal RNA (465 nucleotides) under Vreelandella stevensii. RNAcentral's name for it is "partial 16S ribosomal RNA". It matches the Rfam family "Bacterial small subunit ribosomal RNA", at positions 338 to 795 of the family's 1533-position model. The record is from RNAcentral. Lineage: Bacteria; Pseudomonadati; Pseudomonadota; Gammaproteobacteria; Oceanospirillales; Halomonadaceae.
CCUACGGGGGGCUGCAGUGGGGAAUAUUGGACAAUGGGGGGAACCCUGAUCCAGCCAUGCCGCGUGUGUGAAGAAGGCCCUCGGGUUGUAAAGCACUUUCAGUGAGGAAGAACGCCUGGUGGUUAAUACCCAUCAGGAAAGACAUCACUCACAGAAGAAGCACCGACUAACUCCGUGCCAGCAGCCGCGGUAAUACGGAGGGUGGGAGCGUUAAUCGGAAUUACUGGGCGUAAAGCGCGCGUAGGUGGCUUGAUAAGCCGGUUGUGAAAGCCCCGGGCUCAACCUGGGAACGGCAUCCGGAACUGUCAAGCUAGAGUGCAGGAGAGGAAGGUAGAAUUCCCGGUGUAGCGGUGAAAUGCGUAGAGAUCGGGAGGAAUACCAGUGGCGAAGGCGGCCUUCUGGACUGACACUGACACUGAGGUGCGAAAGCGUGGGUAGCAAACAGGAUUAGAUACCCCUGUAGUC